UACGAAGGGGGCUAGCGUUGCUCGGAAUUACUGGGCGUAAAGGGAGCGUAGGCGGAUAGUUCAGUCAGAGGUGAAAGCCCAGGGCUCAACCUUGGAACUGCCUUUGAUACUGGCUAUCUUGAGUUUGGGAGAGGUGUGUGGAACUCCGAGUGUAGAGGUGAAAUUCGUAGAUAUUCGGAAGAACACCAGUGGCGAAGGCGACACACUGGCCCAAUACUGACGCUGAGGCUCGAAAGCGUGGGGAGCAAACAGG
RNAcentral lists this ribosomal RNA (253 nucleotides) under uncultured bacterium. RNAcentral describes it as "partial 16S ribosomal RNA". It matches the Rfam family "Bacterial small subunit ribosomal RNA", at positions 524 to 776 of the family's 1533-position model. The record is from RNAcentral. RNAcentral also lists the same sequence under 1 other name.